GAUGAACGCUAGCGGCAGGCUUAAUACAUGCAAGUCGAGGGGCAGCGCAGUGUAGCAAUACAUGGGCGGCGACCGGCAAACGGGUGCGGAACACGUACAGAACCUUCCUUCGAGCGGGGAAUAGCCCAGAGAAAUUUGGAUUAGUACCCCAUAGUAUAUUGGAGUGGCAUCACUUUAAUAUUAAAGAUUUAUCACUUGAA
RNAcentral lists this ribosomal RNA (200 nucleotides) under uncultured bacterium. RNAcentral describes it as "partial 16S ribosomal RNA". It matches the Rfam family "Bacterial small subunit ribosomal RNA", at positions 28 to 223 of the family's 1533-position model. The record is from RNAcentral.